UGCUUGCCCUAACAUUCUGCGCAUCCUCAC
Molecule: non-coding RNA, 30 nt
Filed under: Mus musculus (house mouse)
Lineage: Eukaryota; Metazoa; Chordata; Mammalia; Rodentia; Muridae
Source: RNAcentral